Pelobates cultripes (western spadefoot toad) is the source of this 743-nucleotide non-coding RNA. NCBI's taxonomy places the organism in Eukaryota, Metazoa, Chordata, Amphibia, Anura, Pelobatidae. The record is from the annotation of a GenBank genome assembly.
GGUAGCAAUUACCUCAGCUAGGAGAAUUGGGGAGAUCCAAGCCCUUUCCUCUUUGCCAGAAUUCACAAUUUUUCAUCAGGACAUGACUGUGCUGCAUUCUAAACCUUUUUUCCCCAAACGUUCUAUCAAGAAAAUCUCUGAAUGAACCUCUGGUGCUGCCAUCAUUCUAUAGUUCGGGAAGAUCAGAUAAAGAACGGACGUGGCAUAACCUGAAUGUGCGUAGAACACUUUAUCCCGUACUUAUCCCGUUCUGAAGAAUUUAGGUCUUUGGAUCACCUUUAUCAGUUUAAUUUUCACAGAAAAAAGAAGGGUGUGGGAGCAUCUAAACCCACUCUGGCGAGGUGGUUAACAGACUCAAAUUGGCCUAUGAAUUGCACAUUGUUAAAUUACCUUCCUUUAUUAGAGCACACUCAGAGCCAUGUCCACAUCAUGCGCUGAAAAAACCAACGUGCCUCCUGAAGAUGUCUGCAAAGCGGCAACAUGGUCCUCUUUUCAUACCUUCAUUAAGCACUAUUAGACAUCUCAUCCUCUGAGGCUGCUUUUGGGUGCAAGGUGUUCAAGCAGUAGUUUGCUGAGACCCCCACCCUUUUAAUUUUUCAGGGAUCUUGUUAUAUCCCACUGGUACUGCCAUUGUUAGGAAGAACAGAUCUUACCGUAAAUUCUUUUUUCCUUAAUAUAGUGGCUGUACGAUUCCCUCCCUUUUUUUGAUAAUACGUAGUUCCCAAUUUUACAAACUAAUUGGU